GAUGAAGACGUAGCGAAAUGCGAUAAGUAAUGUGAAUUGCAGAAUUCAGUGAAUCAUCGAAUCUUUGAACGCACCUUGCGCCCUUUGGCCAUUCCGAAGGGCAUGCCUGUUUGAGUAUCAUGAACACCUCAACUCUUUAUGGUUUUCCAUGAUGAGCUUGGACUCUGGGGGUUUUGCUGGCUCACAGUCGGCUCCUCUAAAAUGAAUCAGCUUACCAGUGUUUGGUGGGUAUCAUGGGUGUGAUAACUAUCUACGCUUGUGGUUUUUCCACCAGGUAACCUUCAGCAGUGGAGGUUCGCUGGAGCUCAUAGAUGUCUCUCCUCAGUGAGGACAGCCCUUUGAAUGUUUGAUCUCAAAUCAGGUAGGACUACCCGCUGAACUUAAGCAUAUCAAUAAGCGGAGGA
This 404-nucleotide unclassified non-coding RNA is filed under the name soil metagenome. Its description in RNAcentral is "partial contains 5.8S ribosomal RNA, internal transcribed spacer 2, and large subunit ribosomal RNA". The stretch from base 1 to 120 matches the Rfam family "5.8S ribosomal RNA", at positions 35 to 154 of the family's 154-position model. The record is from RNAcentral.